This 1160-nucleotide ribosomal RNA is filed under the name Staphylococcus aureus. RNAcentral's name for it is "partial 23S ribosomal RNA". It matches the Rfam family "Bacterial large subunit ribosomal RNA", at positions 85 to 1246 of the family's 2925-position model. Lineage: Bacteria; Bacillati; Bacillota; Bacilli; Caryophanales; Staphylococcaceae. The record is from RNAcentral.
GCUGUAAGUAAGCUUUGAUCCAGAGAUUUCCGAAUGGGGAAACCCAGCAUGAGUUAUGUCAUGUUAUCGAUAUGUGAAUACAUAGCAUAUCAGAAGGCACACCCGGAGAACUGAAACAUCUUAGUACCCGGAGGAAGAGAAAGAAAAUUCGAUUCCCUUAGUAGCGGCGAGCGAAACGGGAAGAGCCCAAACCAACAAGCUUGCUUGUUGGGGUUGUAGGACACUCUAUACGGAGUUACAAAGGACGACAUUAGACGAAUCAUCUGGAAAGAUGAAUCAAAGAAGGUAAUAAUCCUGUAGUCGAAAAUGUUGUCUCUCUUGAGUGGAUCCUGAGUACGACGGAGCACGUGAAAUUCCGUCGGAAUCUGGGAGGACCAUCUCCUAAGGCUAAAUACUCUCUAGUGACCGAUAGUGAACCAGUACCGUGAGGGAAAGGUGAAAAGCACCCCGGAAGGGGAGUGAAAUAGAACCUGAAACCGUGUGCUUACAAGUAGUCAGAGCCCGUUAAUGGGUGAUGGCGUGCCUUUUGUAGAAUGAACCGGCGAGUUACGAUUUGAUGCAAGGUUAAGCAGUAAAUGUGGAGCCGUAGCGAAAGCGAGUCUGAAUAGGGCGUUUAGUAUUUGGUCGUAGACCCGAAACCAGGUGAUCUACCCUUGGUCAGGUUGAAGUUCAGGUAACACUGAAUGGAGGACCGAACCGACUUACGUUGAAAAGUGAGCGGAUGAACUGAGGGUAGCGGAGAAAUUCCAAUCGAACCUGGAGAUAGCUGGUUCUCUCCGAAAUAGCUUUAGGGCUAGCCUCAAGUGAUGAUUAUUGGAGGUAGAGCACUGUUUGGACGAGGGGCCCCUCUCGGGUUACCGAAUUCAGACAAACUCCGAAUGCCAAUUAAUUUAACUUGGGAGUCAGAACAUGGGUGAUAAGGUCCGUGUUCGAAAGGGAAACAGCCCAGACCACCAGCUAAGGUCCCAAAAUAUAUGUUAAGUGGAAAAGGAUGUGGCGUUGCCCAGACAACUAGGAUGUUGGCUUAGAAGCAGCCAUCAUUUAAAGAGUGCGUAAUAGCUCACUAGUCGAGUGACACUGCGCCGAAAAUGUACCGGGGCUAAACAUAUUACCGAAGCUGUGGAUUGUCCUUUGGACAAUGGUAGGAGAGCGUUCUAAGG